Molecule: long non-coding RNA, 3631 nt
Organism: Dreissena polymorpha
Lineage: Eukaryota; Metazoa; Mollusca; Bivalvia; Myida; Dreissenidae
Exons: 7
Source: RefSeq, a predicted model, not a curated record
GACGUGGUUGCGAGAGCUCUCAUAUCUGUUGUGUUAAACUGUUUUUAUGAUAUGUUAUGUUUGUUUGUUUGUUUGUUUGUGUUGUACUAUUUUUCAGAUGCUGUUGGCAGUGAUGGGUUUUCAAGCUGACCUGAACAGAAAAGCACUCAUAUGGUAAGUACAAAAUAGUUGUUAUAUGGGAUGUUUUGUGCAUGCUUCUAUGUUUCAGGUGUACUUGCUGACAGCGACGAAGACGAUACGAGAAGAGGAACAUUGUUGAGAAAGUGAUUGGGACUUGCAAACAGGAUUCGAGUCACUGGUUUACACAUGGAAGAAGAUUUCCACGUCUGUUACUCAACUCUACAGAAGCAAGAUGUUUUGUUUCAGUUGAUGUCCAGAUGGCAAGCAGAACAGACGUGUUUCUUGGAGCUGCCAAACAGUGAGUACAAACGUUUUAUAUUUUUCAGUUGUUUACUCAUAGAAGUCUGUGAAAGAUGAUAGCAAGGGUAGAAUCUAUCAGUACUUGUGUCUAAAAAUGCUGAUGUGUGACGGUUUACUGAAAAGGGUAAAUGCUAGCCAGUACUUACACUUGAGCAACCGUGGGAUGUCGAACUAACUGAUGAUGUACUAUGAUGGUGAACACUUACUAUGUGUAUCGAAAUGCUUUUGUUGAUAUUUUCUAUAGAUGAUUUGAUAUUGGUUAACAUUUGUUUGCAUGCUGUUAACAUUUCUAUUUCAUUUCAGUUAGCUGUGGUGAGUAUUGUAGUAUACAUUUGUUUCAAUAAAUCAUGGUGAUUCUUUUUUACAGUUUUAGGGAUUAUCACUCUAUAACAACUCUGUCGGUUGGUGUUCAUGAGUCUGAGCCUAAUACAGCAAUGUUUGAGUAGUACAAAAAUGUUUUCGCUUUUGUGGUCGCCAGCUGUCCGUGAUCUGUAAAGUGAAAAAUACACAGAGCUAUGAAGCAUACAAAUGUUUCGAAAUUUUAUCAAUGAUUGUAUACUAUGCAUGUUUUGAUUUAGUUCAUUUCAGAUAUGAGAUGACAUGAAGAGUUGACAGUCGAACAGAGCUGAGCAACGCAGAAAGGUAAGUGUGUUUCAUUUUAGUAUGAACACUUGUAUUUUGUUUUUAUAUGGUAUGUUUUGUGCAUGCUAUGUUUCAGGUGUACUUGUAGUCAGCGACGAAGACGAUUAAAGAAGAGGAACAUUGCUGAGAAAGUGAAUGGGACUUGCAAACAGGGUAAGUGUUACAAUUGUUGGUUUGAUUUUUACCAUGCAUACUUUGCUUUACUCUGUUUCAGAUUUCACAUGCAGAAAUGGUCUCAUAGCAGUGCCAACAGUGAAUAAGGAUUUCAUCUGCUGUGAAACAACUCAACAGAAAGUAGGUAAGCAUUGAAUGCAUGCACUUGAGUUGUACAAUUUGAUGUGAUGCUUUUCUCUGUUUCAGAUUCAAGUUUCUGGUGUAGACAGAAAAAUGUGUUUGAAGAAGGAAUUCUACUACUGUGAUUCAACUCUACAGAAGCAAGGUAAGUAGAAACAAAAUUUUGGUUUAAUUUAACUCAUGUGUUUUGCACUGCAUGCUAUUUUUCAGGUCUCUCAUGCAGUGAUGCAAAAGAAGAAGAUUUCAAGAAAGAAUCACUGCUGCAACUCAGGCCUAUAACAAGACUUACAUUGCUGUGACUGUUCCACAGUGGGUCAAAAAAGAGACGAAUACAGGUUUCAAGAAGAAAAUUGGCUGUUGAAAACCUGCACAAAAUAUGAGGUAAGUAAACUAUUCUUUUGGUUUGUUUUGUGCUUUGUUAUGCUUAACUAUUUUUCAGAUUGGAAUGGUGGGUCGUUACAGAGCAGACUUUUGGACAACUGAGAAGUUGAGAAACAGAGAAUGAUUCAAGAUCAGCUAGUUGCCAGAGGUGAGUACCAUAACAGUUGAAAAGUUAGUUUUGUUUAGUUAAAGUUUUGGUUCACAGUUCUGUUUGUUAUUUGGCAAAAUUUACAUGUAUGCAUUGAGUCUUGAUUUCAGCUAGAUUGUGGACUGAAGAAGAUUGCCAGCAGAGGGAUUGGAUACAAGAUACAAAGUAAGUACUGAGUUUCUUACUAAAAGUUUUGAGUUGUAUUCAUCGUGUGUUAAUAUGCUAUGAUUGCUAUGAACAUGACUUUUGUAUUUCAGCGAAGACAACAUAGAUAAGUAAAAUUGUUAUCUGUUUCAUGUUUACUGUUACAGUUCAAUAUUGUGUUUAUAAAUUGUAAGUUGUACAAACACAUUCAAAAGUUUCUGAUCAUGCUUUCGAUUUCAUUUCAGCUUUACUGCUUGACGAGUGUUAUCAACUACUAGACGAGUCAGCUUUACUACCAGGCGAGCAGUGACAACAAGGCGCCUUUGUGGAAACAACACAACAAAAAACUGUACUGCUAGACGAGCAGUGACAGAAAGGCGCCUGAACAUGCAACACAAAACAAAAAAUGCCAAUUUGCAAACCUUGAUGUGGACACCGAGUAGUCAAUACAUACGUGUGGCGUAUAGCUGCGACAAAACCGUGGGUCCAUCGCACCGAUAACUUGAACAUUGGCCCGUGUAUGGACAUCAGUGCAACUUUGUGAAUCCAUGUAACUUUGUGAAUCCAUGUAACAUUGCGAAUGUGUGUCGAUCGAAAAAUGUGUACAUUCUGCACUGAAACGAACUCGGUGUUGCAAGUGGCAAGUGUUGACAGUGUGUAUGUUUAUGUUUAUGUUUUUACAUGAAAAAUAAAGGAGAUUGUUCUCCUACCUUUUUUUUCCUUGUUUUAUUGUGCUGGCCAGCAAUAUUGAUGUAUUGAUGUAUGUGUUUGUGUUUAAACUAUGCAAUACCAAAAUCAAACAAAAAAUAAACAUUAACAGUCAUUAACUGUGUUUGGGCGGCCGAGGGGUUUAAGACUCCACAAGUGUGAAGCGCACUGAUAGCACUUGGGGGUAAACACCUCGGUAUUUCGGUGCUAAAAUGUUUUCACGGUGCUUAUUUUGACGCACUGUUAGAACUACCAACCAGUAAAUGAUUGCUUGAUUUAUAAAACAAAUAUUCAGUCUCUACUUUGGCACAAGAGACUCUAAGUAUCAAAUACCAACAAUUUAAGCGCAGACAAUCACAUGGUGGUACACCAGUCCGAAUAUACUCAUUGCUCUAGCCAGGAUUGCAAAUUACUUGUGUUGACUAGCAAGGCUCCCUAGUAACGGAGCAGUGUUACUGGCGUUUUUUGGGUCGAUAGUGCUCAGGUGAGGUUUUGCUCGAAUCGGGAGCGGGUCACUCGCUUGGGCGAGUUAGUUUUCGCUCGUAGUUUCCAAUCUGGCUAGAUCAAUGUAAGGUUGUUUUGACUGCUAUUUGGCAAGCAGAAAGACAACAGCGGUUAAUUGACUGAGUAUGGGCGACCGAGGUAUGUAGGUGUCAAUAGACCGACUCCACAAGUUGCGAAGCGAACCGAUAGCACUUGAGGGGAAACGCCUCGGUUUUCGGUUCUAACAUGUGUUAUCCAUGCUGUCGUUAUACUCUGGCAAGGCUCCUCAAUCUAUCGCGAGGGACACUCAUUAUUGCCCGCAAGCUUUAGAACCUGACGUGGGUCGAUGCGUAUGCGAGUCCGAGGACGCGAUGGCAUUUGAUAAGGCUACCAACCGGUUGAUAACACGCA